CUUAACCUACAGACUGCGUUUGAAACUGUAUAUCUUGAGAGCAGCAGAGGAAGGCGGAAUUCCUGGUGUAGUGGUGAAAUACGUAGAUAUCAGGAAGAACACCAGUGGCGAAGGCGGUCUUCUGGGCUGCAUCUGACGCUCAUGUACGAAAGCUGGGGUAGCGAACGGGAUUAGAUACCCCGGUAGUCCCAGCUGUAAACGAUGGACACUAGGUGUUGGCGGUUCGAAUCCGUCAGUGCCGGAGUUAACGCAUUAAGUGUCCCGCCUGGGGAAUACGGUCGCAAGACUGAAACUCAAAGGAAUUGACGGGGGCCCGCACAAGCGGUGGAGCAUGUGGUUUAAUUCGAUGCAACGCGAAGAACCUUACCGAGAAUUGACAUCCCGUGACUACCUGUGAGAGCAGGGUUUGGUACUUUGUAUCACAC
Molecule: ribosomal RNA, 425 nt
Filed under: uncultured bacterium
Lineage: Bacteria
Description: bacterial SSU rRNA
Rfam family: Bacterial small subunit ribosomal RNA
Source: RNAcentral